Pyrus x bretschneideri (Chinese white pear) is the source of this 823-nucleotide long non-coding RNA. RefSeq lists it as uncharacterized. NCBI's taxonomy places the organism in Eukaryota, Viridiplantae, Streptophyta, Magnoliopsida, Rosales, Rosaceae. The record is from RefSeq and is a predicted model, not a curated record. The transcript has 3 exons.
UUUUGUUUGUCUGCACCUUUUUCCUUUCUUUCGAACUCCCCCAUUUCUCUCUUCUUCUUCCCCGUGAAAGACACACAGACACACACACACACCCACAGCUACACCUACUCGAGGAAAUCAUCACCAUCGUCGCCAUUCAACUGCAUAUCUCUCUCUCUCCCUUGCUCACGGCGCCGGGAGGAUACGAACACCUCCGGCGAGUUUUGUGAUUUUUCCGGUUGGGUUUUGGAGUGUUUUUGGCACGGGUGAGUGCACACCCAAAUUUCCGGCGAGCACCGUCCCUUUCGAGGCGAUUUCCGGCCAAACCACGGCGAGUUGGCCGGCGUGCGAGUUUCCGGCGACCUCAGUGACUUUCGAGGUGUUUUUCAGCCAAACCACGGCGAGUUAGACGUCGUGUGAGGUACCAUUCUCUUCGUCUCUUCGAGAGCUACGAUUUUCAUUUUUGAAUCACUUGAUUUCGUCGAGUAUUAACAAAGUUAUGGACGUUCAAAGUUUGUCUAAAUUCCGGCCGAAUUCCGGCCUUCUUCUCCGGCGUGAAACCCAGCCCAAGAAAACAACCAGGCCAUCAGGCCGUUUCCUUCCCCCACGGGCCUUAGGCCCGUUUGGUCUCUGGCCCAAAACUCUAAACCUUUUCCUUUUUAAUUUAAUUUUGUUUCAUUUUAAACCCAAAGGCCUUAGGGCUUUGGUUGCAGCCCAAACCCAUUUCCCCUUUUUAUUUAGGCCUUAGGGCCUGUUAGCCCAAAACCCAUCACCCUUUCUGUUGUGGGCCUUUGGGCCGUAUGGGUUCAAGCCCAACCCAACUCACCUAAAAACCUAAACCCAA